UACGGAAGGUCCUGGCGUUAUCCGGAUUUAUUGGGUUUAAAGGGAGCGCAGGCGGGUUGUUAAGCGUGCCGUGAAAUGUACCGGCUCAACCGGUGAAGUGCGGCGCGAACUGGCGACCUUGAGUAGGUACGACGGAGGCGGAAUUCGUGGUGUAGCGGUGAAAUGCUUAGAUAUCACGAAGAACCCCGAUUGCGAAGGCAGCCUCCGAGUCCCUUACUGACGCUAAAGCUCGAAGGUGCGGGUAUCGAAC
This 250-nucleotide ribosomal RNA is filed under the name uncultured prokaryote. RNAcentral describes it as "partial 16S ribosomal RNA". It matches the Rfam family "Bacterial small subunit ribosomal RNA", at positions 524 to 773 of the family's 1533-position model. The record is from RNAcentral.